RNAcentral lists this long non-coding RNA (508 nucleotides) under Homo sapiens (human). Its description in RNAcentral is "non-protein coding lnc-DDX27-4:3". Lineage: Eukaryota; Metazoa; Chordata; Mammalia; Primates; Hominidae. The record is from RNAcentral.
GCUUCUGCGACCAAGCGUGCGGCGCGGCGCGGCGCGGGACUGCUGCGCAGACUAUACGCGGGUCUGCCCAGGUGCACCCGGGGAAAGGCAAGGCACUAGCGGAACGCUCGGAGCGGAGGGGAGCUGGGGCGGGGGAUGAGCGGAGGAAGGGAGCCCAGCACCUAGGGGGCUCUGGGCUUGGAGGGGUCACACGAGCCGAGGGCGGGGCGCGGCGCUUGGGGACUGGAAGGGUGCGCCGCGGGGCAGACGGGACGUGCAGGGGGUCGCGCGGGCAAGGAGGGACGCAGACACUCAGGACCUAAAGGGGAAGCACUGGCUGUGGAGCUGCGAGCCGAGAAAGACGCGCAGGUUAUGAACCUGGGUGCGUUCAUCUCGGGGGACCUGAAGGAGAGGGACUCGUGGAGAGUUGAGGGGUGUUUCGGAGGAGGGGCGCAAGGACUGCUCACAGGACUUGAAGGGCGGCAGGAAGGUGGAGGAUUCGGCCCAGGUGCGGGACGCAGGCGGUGGA